Molecule: ribosomal RNA, 371 nt
Filed under: uncultured bacterium
Lineage: Bacteria
Description: bacterial SSU rRNA
Rfam family: Bacterial small subunit ribosomal RNA
Source: RNAcentral
GUAGGUGGCGAGCGUUGUCCGGAUUUACUCGGCGUAAAGAGCGCGCAGGCGGUCGUGCAAGUCGCGUGUGAAAGCCCCCGGCUCAACUGGGGAGGGUCACGCGAUACUGCUCGACUUGAAGGCAGGAGAGGGAAGUGGAAUUCCCGGUGUAGUGGUGAAAUGCGUAGAUAUCGGGAGGAACACCAGUGGCGAAGGCGACUUCCUGGCCUGUUCUUGACGCUGAGGCGCGAAAGCUAGGGUAGCAAACGGGAUUAGAUACCCCGGUAGUCUUAGCCGUAAACGAUGGACACUAGGUGUUGGUGGUAUCAACCCCGCCAGUGCCGUAGCUAACGCAUUAAGUGUCCCGCCUGGGGAGUACGGCCGCAAGGCUA